RNAcentral lists this ribosomal RNA (733 nucleotides) under Lactococcus lactis. RNAcentral describes it as "bacterial SSU rRNA". It matches the Rfam family "Bacterial small subunit ribosomal RNA", at positions 47 to 763 of the family's 1533-position model. The record is from RNAcentral. Lineage: Bacteria; Bacillati; Bacillota; Bacilli; Lactobacillales; Streptococcaceae.
CCUAAUACAUGCAAGUUGAGCGAUGAAGAUUGGUGCUUGCACCAAUUUGAAGAGCAGCGAACGGGUGAGUAACGCGUGGGGAAUCUGCCUUUGAGCGGGGGACAACAUUUGGAAACGAAUGCUAAUACCGCAUAACAACUUUAAACAUAAGUUUUAAGUUUGAAAGAUGCAAUUGCAUCACUCAAAGAUGAUCCCGCGUUGUAUUAGCUAGUUGGUGAGGUAAAGGCUCACCAAGGCGAUGAUACAUAGCCGACCUGAGAGGGUGAUCGGCCACAUUGGGACUGAGACACGGCCCAAACUCCUACGGGAGGCAGCAGUAGGGAAUCUUCGGCAAUGGACGAAAGUCUGACCGAGCAACGCCGCGUGAGUGAAGAAGGUUUUCGGAUCGUAAAACUCUGUUGGUAGAGAAGAACGUUGGUGAGAGUGGAAAGCUCAUCAAGUGACGGUAACUACCCAGAAAGGGACGGCUAACUACGUGCCAGCAGCCGCGGUAAUACGUAGGUCCCGAGCGUUGUCCGGAUUUAUUGGGCGUAAAGCGAGCGCAGGUGGUUUAUUAAGUCUGGUGUAAAAGGCAGUGGCUCAACCAUUGUAUGCAUUGGAAACUGGUAGACUUGAGUGCAGGAGAGGAGAGUGGAAUUCCAUGUGUAGCGGUGAAAUGCGUAGAUAUAUGGAGGAACACCGGUGGCGAAAGCGGCUCUCUGGCCUGUAACUGACACUGAGGCUCGAAAGCGUG